AAUCUUUAACUGUCUCAAGAAGAAAGUUCAAUUAAUUUGAAAAAACGGUGAAGAUGCUGUUAACAAAAUUGUAAGACGAAAAGACCCUUUCGAGCUUUACUAUAAGCUUAUAGAAAAAAUCUUUAAUAAAAAUAUAAUAAAAACAAACUGUAAGCUAGUUAGUUUGGUUGGGGCGACCACCUCUAAAACAGUAUCAGAGGAAAUCUAAAGGUAUAAUAGUAAUAUUAAUUGCCUUACUGUAUACAAACAAGUUAAUCAGUUACUAUUAUGUAGGAUAUAAUGACCCGUUGAAUUAAUUUCAAAAUUCAACGACCAUGAAAAAAGUUACCGUAGGGAUAACAGGGUAAUAUUAUCAAAGAGUUCAUAUCGAUGAUGAUGUUUGCCACCUCGAUGUUGAAUUGUGAUAUCCUGAGGGUGUAGCAGCUCUCAAGGGUCGGUCUGUUCGACCGUUAAAAUCAUACGUGAUCUGAGUUCAGACC
Molecule: ribosomal RNA, 479 nt
Filed under: Nemopilema nomurai
Lineage: Eukaryota; Metazoa; Cnidaria; Scyphozoa; Rhizostomeae; Rhizostomatidae
Description: partial 16S ribosomal RNA
Rfam family: Bacterial large subunit ribosomal RNA
Source: RNAcentral